UAAAAGCAGUGUGAUAAACUGACAUAGAAACAAUAGCUUGAGUUAUCCAUCUUCAUUUUGUGCAUACUUCUAUCAGGUGAUAUAUGACUUCAUUUUAAGAAAUGGAAAGAAGGAUCUGAAUGAAUUCUCAAAAACAAAAAUCAUACAGCUGCUUACUGCUGUGAAGGAGUUGAUGAGGGAAGACUCCAUUAAUAUGCAGUUGCUGACUGAGAAGAAGUUGUUAUAAGGCAUUGAUGCAGACAAGAUGGUGGUGACAAAUCUUGGCAAGAUGGCUUCCCAAUUAAUAGCACUAGCCCGAAGACUCAAUUAAAGCAGAUGUGUGUAAAAAAAAAUAAACAGCUGCUUGAAUGACCUAGAGAAGAAAGGUUUGGAGUUGACUGCAGCAAUAUUACUUCUACCAUCCCUG
This is a long non-coding RNA of Acipenser ruthenus (sterlet), 406 nucleotides long. RefSeq lists it as uncharacterized. Lineage: Eukaryota; Metazoa; Chordata; Actinopteri; Acipenseriformes; Acipenseridae. The transcript is spliced from 3 exons. The record is from RefSeq and is a predicted model, not a curated record.